UAAUCCGAGAAUUUCACCUCUGGCCGCGGAAUAGCAGCACCCCCAACUGUCCCUAUCAAUCAUUGCUACGAUUCUAGAACCAACAAAAUAGAACACGAUAGCCCUAUGUUAUUAUUCCAUGCUAAAUUGUUCACGGCGUAAGCCUGCUUUGAACACUCCAAUUUUUUCAAAGUAAACGAUCCGGAUCGUGCACCUCGCCCAGUAAAGAGAAAGGACACCAACCGAAAGAUAGGCUAGCGCUUCCAGCACUCAACCCGAAGGCGGGCCGUCCGCACAAAGCCAGAUAUCCAACUACGAGCUUUUUAACUGCAACAACAUUAAUAUACGCUAUUGGAGCUGGAAUUACCG
RNAcentral lists this unclassified non-coding RNA (348 nucleotides) under uncultured bacterium. RNAcentral describes it as "contains 16S-23S intergenic spacer region". The record is from RNAcentral.